AUCUAAGUCUAUAGGACCUGUCAGCCGUGGCAGUCUCCCUUCCUAGCCAUGGAAGAGCAUGAUUCUUGUUGAUUGGCAAAGCUGUCACCAUUUUAUUGCAAAUUCUGACUUGCAAAAGGAACAUUC
This is a small nucleolar RNA of Dipodomys spectabilis (banner-tailed kangaroo rat), 126 nucleotides long. RefSeq annotates it as small nucleolar RNA SNORA24. The record is from RefSeq and is a predicted model, not a curated record. The transcript has a single exon. NCBI's taxonomy places the organism in Eukaryota, Metazoa, Chordata, Mammalia, Rodentia, Heteromyidae.